GAAGGUCUAGCUCAGUGGUGGAGCAUGUGCUUAGCAUGCACAGGGUCCUGGGUUCCAUCCUCAGCACCUCCA
RNAcentral lists this transfer RNA (72 nucleotides) under Camelus bactrianus (Bactrian camel). It matches the Rfam family "tRNA". From Rfam's summary of the family: Transfer RNA (tRNA) molecules are approximately 80 nucleotides in length. Their secondary structure includes four short double-helical elements and three loops (D, anti-codon, and T loops). RNAcentral also lists the same sequence under 2 other names. The record is from Rfam by way of RNAcentral. Lineage: Eukaryota; Metazoa; Chordata; Mammalia; Artiodactyla; Camelidae.